UCGAUUGGAUUGGGGAUGCUUUUGCCACCUGGACAAAAAGAGAGAUAUUUUUUAUUUUUUAUUAUUUAUUAUACGUGAUGAGAAUAACGGAGAUGA
This 96-nucleotide non-coding RNA is filed under the name Bathycoccus prasinos. The record is from RNAcentral. Lineage: Eukaryota; Viridiplantae; Chlorophyta; Mamiellophyceae; Mamiellales; Bathycoccaceae.